This 253-nucleotide ribosomal RNA is filed under the name uncultured Eubacteriales bacterium. RNAcentral describes it as "uncultured Clostridiales bacterium partial 16S ribosomal RNA". It matches the Rfam family "Bacterial small subunit ribosomal RNA", at positions 524 to 776 of the family's 1533-position model. The record is from RNAcentral. Lineage: Bacteria; Bacillati; Bacillota; Clostridia; Eubacteriales.
UACGUAGGGGGCAAGCGUUAUCCGGAUUUACUGGGUGUAAAGGGAGCGUAGACGGCGAUGCAAGUCUGAAGUGAAAGGCGGGGGCCCAACCCCCGGACUGCUUUGGAAACUGUAUAGCUGGAGUGCAGGAGAGGUAAGUGGAAUUCCUAGUGUAGCGGUGGAAUGCGUAGAUAUUAGGAGGAACACCAGAGGCGAAGGCGGCUAACUGGACUGCAACUGACGCUGAGGCACGAAAGCGUGGGUAUCGAACAGG